GAUGAACGCUGGCGGCGUGCCUAAUACAUGCAAGUCGAGCGAACAGAUGAGGAGCUUGCUCCUCUGACGUUAGCGGCGGACGGGUGAGUAACACGUGGAUAACCUACCUAUAAGACUGGGAUAACUUCGGGAAACCGGAGCUAAUACCGGAUAAUAUAUUGAACCGCAUGGUUCAAUAGUGAAAGACGGUUUUGCUGUCACUUAUAGAUGGAUCCGCGCCGCAUUAGCUAGUUGGUAAGGUAACGGCUUACCAAGGCAACGAUGCGUAGCCGACCUGAGAGGGUGAUCGGCCACACUGGAACUGAGACACGGUCCAGACUCCUACGGGAGGCAGCAGUAGGGAAUCUUCCGCAAUGGGCGAAAGCCUGACGGGGCAACGCCGCGUGAGUGAUGAAGGUCUUCGGAUCGUAAAACUCUGUUAUUAGGGAAGAACAAAUGUGUAAGUAACUAUGCACGUCUUGACGGUACCUAAUCAGAAAGCCACGGCUAACUACGUG
Molecule: ribosomal RNA, 497 nt
Filed under: uncultured bacterium
Lineage: Bacteria
Description: partial 16S ribosomal RNA
Rfam family: Bacterial small subunit ribosomal RNA
Source: RNAcentral